Molecule: ribosomal RNA, 225 nt
Filed under: uncultured Asaia sp.
Lineage: Bacteria; Pseudomonadati; Pseudomonadota; Alphaproteobacteria; Acetobacterales; Acetobacteraceae
Description: partial 16S ribosomal RNA
Rfam family: Bacterial small subunit ribosomal RNA
Source: RNAcentral
CACGUAGGCGGAUCGAUCAGUCAGGGGUGAAAUCCCAGGGCUCAACCUUGGGGCUGCAUUUGAUACGUGUAGACUAGAGUGUGAGAGAGGGUUGUGGAAUUCCCAGUGUAGAGGUGAAAUUCGUAGAUAUUGGGAAGAACACCGGUGGCGAAGGCGGCAACCUGGCUCAUUACUGACGCUGAGGCGCGAAAGCGUGGGGAGCAAACAGGAUUAGAUACCCCAGUA